AGAAGACGGGAAGUGGCUGAGGGGAACGUCUUUUCUCUCUCCUGCUCAGCCCGAAGUGAACAGGUAGCAUCAGAGAUGAGAUCCUGGAUUGAAUGACUACUAUGGAAAGUGAUUGACCAAGAUUGUCUCCAUUCCUCCCUGGCUUCUCCACAGGGCCGCUCACCAUGGCAGCCGGCUCCAUCACCACCAGCCAGCGAGAGGGCAAGACAAGAGGGCUGACGAGGGACGCUACCAUCACAGAGGUCAGUUUUGUAACCUAACCACAAGACUAACCUACUGUCACUUCUGCCCUAUCCUACUGCUAGAAGCCAGUCGCUACAUCUCCCCCACACUCAAAGGGAGGUGGUCGCACCGUGGGGUCCACUGGAAGUUGCCUACCAGACUCAGGUCAUCCCAAACACACCCUCUAGCCAUUUGGUGUGGCAUCGGAAAGAAAACUAAGGCCAGGUACGGUGGCUCAUGCCUGUAAUCCCAACAAUUUGGGAGGCCAUGGCGGAAGGGUCACUUGAGCCCAGGAGUUUGAGACCAGCCUGGGCAACAUAGCAAAUGUUAUGUUGCCACCUCUACAAAUAAUUAGCCAAGUGUGGUGGCAUGCACCUGUAGUCCCAGAUACUCAGGAGGCUGAGGCAGGAGAAUCACAGGUCGAGGUUGUAGUGAGCUGUGACGGCACUGCACUCCAGCCUUGGCAACACAGUAAGACCUCGUCUCUAAAAAAGCAAAAAGGGCUGGGUGCACUGGCUCACACCUAUAAUCCCAGCACUUUGGGAGGCCAAGACGGGUGGAUCACCUGAGGUCAGGAGUUCAAGAUAAGCCUGGCCAACAUGGUGAUACCGUCUUUAAUUAGCCAGGUGUGGUGGUGGGCGCCUGUAAUCCCAGCUACUCGGGAGGCUGAGGCAUGAGAAUCGCUUGAACAUGGGAGACACAGGUUGCAGUGAGCUGAGAUCAUGCCAUUGCACUCCAGCCUGGGCAACAGAGCGAGACUAGGUGGCUGUUCUGUGUACUGUGGGAUAUUGAGUAGCAUCCCUGGCCUCCCCAGUAUCUCAAAUAUGAAAACAUGUUUUCUAUCUCGAUUACUGAGCUUUUCGGUGCCUCCUUCGGUUCUGCACCUAAGCUAAGAGCCCCUUCAUCUCACCCUGAUCUCUAUCCAGUUUCUAACACAGCAGUCUUGUAAGAUGCCCGGACUUAAACGGUUAUUUCCUGUGAAACAGGUGAAAGGGGCUUUCAUCUCUAAAAAGUCGGAACUUUUUUUUUUUUUUGAGACGGAAUCUUGCUCUGUCACCCAGGCUGGAGGGCAGUGGCAUGAUCUCGGCUCACUGCAAUCUCCGCCUCCCAGCUUCACACCAUUCUCCUGCCUCAGCCUCCCGAGUAGCUGGGACUACAGGCGCCCACCACCAUGCCCAGCUAAUUUUUUGUAUUUUUUUAGUAGAAACAGGGUUUCAUUGUGUUAGCCAGGAUGGUCUCGAUCUCCUGACCUCGUGAUCCACCGCGCCCGGCCAAGUCUGAACUUUUGCAUGGCCUGUUGCCCUGGUGAUAAACUGAUGCCUUGUUUCCUAAAAGGAAUAAAGCCAUGAGUUGCCUUUGUUCAGCUCAUGGGCAUUCACCCAUGCACAGAGGAAAAAUAAAAUCUACGACUCGGGUA
This is a long non-coding RNA of Homo sapiens (human), 1639 nucleotides long. RefSeq annotates it as GP6 antisense RNA 1. The record is from RefSeq and is a predicted model, not a curated record. The transcript is spliced from 3 exons. Lineage: Eukaryota; Metazoa; Chordata; Mammalia; Primates; Hominidae.